UUCUUCGGGGCGGGGCGUAAUUCCCCACUGGCGGUAUAGUCCGCGACCUGCUGUCUGAAGCAGUUGAAUCGGUGUAAUUCCGGUACCAACAGUGAAAGUCUGGAUGAAAGAAGGA
This 115-nucleotide non-coding RNA is filed under the name human gut metagenome. RNAcentral's name for it is "FMN riboswitch (RFN element)". It matches the Rfam family "FMN riboswitch aptamer (RFN element)". Rfam says of the family: The RFN element is a highly conserved domain that is found frequently in the 5'-untranslated regions of prokaryotic mRNAs that encode for flavin mononucleotide (FMN) biosynthesis and transport proteins. This element is a metabolite-dependent riboswitch that directly binds FMN in the absence of proteins. In Bacillus subtilis, the riboswitch most likely controls gene expression by causing premature transcription termination within the 5' untranslated region of the ribDEAHT operon and precluding access to the ribosome-binding site of ypaA mRNA. The record is from RNAcentral.